This 198-nucleotide ribosomal RNA is filed under the name uncultured bacterium. RNAcentral describes it as "partial 16S ribosomal RNA". It matches the Rfam family "Bacterial small subunit ribosomal RNA", at positions 328 to 539 of the family's 1533-position model. The record is from RNAcentral.
ACGCUCGACACCUACGGGAGGCAGCAGUGGGGAAUAUUGCACAAUGGGGGAAACCCUGAUGCAGCAACGCCGCGUGAGUGAAGAAGUAUUUCGGUAUGUAAAGCUCUAUCAGCAGGGAAGAAAAUGACGGUACCUGACUAAGAAGCCCCGGCUAACUACGUGCUAGCAGCCGCGGUAAUCUGAGCGGGCUGGCAAGGC